RNAcentral lists this transfer RNA (85 nucleotides) under Chlamydia trachomatis. Its description in RNAcentral is "tRNA-Tyr(gta)". It matches the Rfam family "tRNA". From Rfam's summary of the family: Transfer RNA (tRNA) molecules are approximately 80 nucleotides in length. Their secondary structure includes four short double-helical elements and three loops (D, anti-codon, and T loops). Further hydrogen bonds mediate the characteristic L-shaped molecular structure. tRNAs have two regions of fundamental functional importance: the anti-codon, which is responsible for specific mRNA codon recognition, and the 3' end, to which the tRNAs corresponding amino acid is attached (by aminoacyl-tRNA synthetases). tRNAs cope with the degeneracy of the genetic code in two manners: having more than one tRNA (with a specific anti-codon) for a particular amino acid; and 'wobble' base-pairing, i.e. permitting non-standard base-pairing at the 3rd anti-codon position. Lineage: Bacteria; Pseudomonadati; Chlamydiota; Chlamydiia; Chlamydiales; Chlamydiaceae. The record is from RNAcentral.
UGGUGGUUUAUGCAAAUGGCUAACGCAAGCAGUCUGUAAAACUGUCGCCGAAAGGCUUUGUAAGUUCAAAUCUUUCAACCACCAU